RNAcentral lists this unclassified non-coding RNA (342 nucleotides) under uncultured Alphaproteobacteria bacterium. Its description in RNAcentral is "contains 16S-23S intergenic spacer region". Lineage: Bacteria; Pseudomonadati; Pseudomonadota; Alphaproteobacteria. The record is from RNAcentral.
UCCGGCUUGUCACCGGCAGUUUCUUCAGAGUGCCCGGCACUACCCGGUGGCAACUGAAGAUGAGGGUUGCGCUCGUUGCGGGACUUAACCCAACAUCUCACGACACGAGCUGACGACAGCCAUGCAGCACCUGUGUUCCGGCCAGCCGAACUGAAGAAUGAGGUCUCCCCCACCCAUACCGGACAUGUCAAGGGCUGGUAAGGUUCUUCGCGUUGCGUCGAAUUAAACCACAUGCUCCACUGCUUGUGCGGGCCCCCGUCAAUUCUUUUGAGUUUCACCCUUGCGAGCGUACUCCUCAGGAGAACGGGGAGGAAGGUGGGGAUGACGUUUGAGAGUACGUCC